AAACAUGUGCUAUGAUUUUGUAUCAGUGAAGAUUUUAAAAUAGUUAGGAGAAAAAGAUAUUUAAAAUAUAUGUAAAAACAAAAUCCUUAGGUGCCCCUCCAGAGAUAAAACAUUAAUAAUGAGUACAAGGCAUGAGUAUACUUCACACUAAUGAAAUAUAGGCGUCUUCAGUCCUUGGUUCUUAUGAUCACUUCAGUUUAUGAAGAGAUGGACAUUGUGGUAUAUCAAGCUUCACCACAAUGGCGCCUCACAUUUUGAGAAACUUGGAGAGAAGUAUUAUGCAGAAAAUGACCCCCAUGAAAGGCUAAAGGGAAUUAUAUUGACCUGAAGCAAGCCAAUAGGUAACACUGUACACAAUUAAUUUGUAUUUAAAUUAGGUCAGUAGGUAGUCUAAUUUCCUGUUUGAAAGAAAACAUAUGUUUGGGAUUAAAUAAAACAAGGAAAGGUAUUAAGCAUUUGAAACCAUCGCAGAGGUGCCUCUCUUUGGCUAUGUGGGGUCAGGAAACUAUUGUUAUGUUUAGCUGUAGCGUGUCUCAAGGGUCCCUUUGAUUUUUCUCAGGGGAUGAAAGACGUAAGAAGCAGUGUCUUAUUUUUGACUCAUAUUAUAAAAUACAAGGAGGAUUAAGGAGCAGUCAAAUGUCAUGUGUGGGGAACAGAUUUGGUUAUGAAUGCCCACUAUGACAUUUGCAUAGUACAGCGGUCAGAAGGGGAAAGGAAAAUAUAUAUGCUAAGCUAUGCAUCUAUCAUACACUAAUAAGAUAAGUCAAAUAAGAUGAUCUUUCAUCAUGUUAUGUGAUUGCCUACUCUUGAGACUACUGAAAGAUUUAUUUAUGUCACUGCAGAGGACUUCCAAGUAUUGGGUAAGCUUUCAGUGUCCACAGAGUUACAACACAUUCAGAGCUUGAGAGGGUCCAAUUCCGCCAUCUUAGCCUUCUUUCUGCAAAGCUAGAUGCCACAUCUGUACGCUGUAAAAGUAGUCACCAUUUAGGCUAUAUUUAUUAUUUGUAAACAGCUAAAUUGUUAACAAGUACUGAAAAUAUUACCCAUGUCCACACAUUCUCAAAAGAAUCCACUAACGUUCCUCAAUAUCUGAUUGUGAUAGUUUUAAGAAAUUGAAUUUGGCAAAAUUCACGAAAAUUUGAAUAUAAGACUUGGGAUACACCAAAAAAAUUUUCUCCUGAGAAACUGUGAAGAUAAAGACUAAACUUAACCACAGAUUUAUUUCUGCUUUUCAUCCACGUAUCCAGGGAGGUUGCUAAUGGGAGGGAUGCCUCAGAAAACGCACAUGUCUGUGAAAACUUGGAACCCACUAAUGCUUUUCAAGUGAUUUUAUUUCAAGUCUAAGCCACAAGAUAUAAACUUUCAUCAAAAAUGGUAAUCUAGUUAAAAUCAGAGCUGUGUGGAAUGUUUCAUGUUUAUGUAUAACUUUUAUGGUAGACCCUCCCACACAGGGGAAAUAAUGUGCCCAAAUUCUGUUAUUUUUACAGUAUGCAAUAUAUCACAGACUAAUCCCACUCAUCAGCUCCGUGUGUUUUAAAUAGAUUCUAAAAAAUGAAAAAUAAAUGAAAGAAAAAUGAAGAAUAUUUGAAAAAGUAAAUUUUAAAUUCCACUUGGAAGCCAAAGAUUU
Molecule: long non-coding RNA, 1627 nt
Filed under: Mus musculus (house mouse)
Lineage: Eukaryota; Metazoa; Chordata; Mammalia; Rodentia; Muridae
Description: long non-coding RNA chr2:43819334-43820961
Source: RNAcentral